AGCCGACCGCAAGGGGGCAGCGGCCCAAGGUAUGAUUCAUGAUUGGGGUG
RNAcentral lists this ribosomal RNA (50 nucleotides) under uncultured bacterium. RNAcentral's name for it is "partial 16S ribosomal RNA". The record is from RNAcentral.